Non-coding RNA from Caenorhabditis elegans, 21 nucleotides. The record is from Ensembl. Lineage: Eukaryota; Metazoa; Nematoda; Chromadorea; Rhabditida; Rhabditidae.
UACGUCUGAGGUUUUCAUUUC